This 726-nucleotide ribosomal RNA is filed under the name uncultured Staphylococcus sp. RNAcentral describes it as "bacterial SSU rRNA". It matches the Rfam family "Bacterial small subunit ribosomal RNA", at positions 129 to 841 of the family's 1533-position model. Lineage: Bacteria; Bacillati; Bacillota; Bacilli; Caryophanales; Staphylococcaceae. The record is from RNAcentral.
CCUAUAAGACUGGGAUAACUUCGGGAAACCGGGGCUAAUGCCGGAUAAUAUUUAGAACCGCAUGGCUCUAAAGUGAAAGAUGGUUUUGCUAUCACUUAUAGAUGGACCCGCGCCGUAUUAGCUAGUUGGUGGGGUAAUGGCUCACCAAGGCAACGAUACGUAGCCGACCUGAGAGGGUGAUCGGCCACACUGGAACUGAGACACGGUCCAGACUCCUACGGGAGGCAGCAGUAGGGAAUCUUCCGCAAUGGGCGAAAGCCUGACGGAGCAACGCCGCGUGAGUGAUGAAGGUCUUCGGAUCGUAAAACUCUGUUAUUAGGGAAGAACAAAUGUGUAAGUAACUGUGCACGUCUUGACGGUACCUAAUCAGAAAGCCACGGCUAACUACGUGCCAGCAGCCGCGGUAAUACGUAGGUGGCAAGCGUUAUCCGGAAUUAUUGGGCGUAAAGCGCGCGUAGGCGGUUUCUUAAGUCUGAUGUGAAAGCCCACGGCUCAACCGUGGAGGGUCAUUGGAAACUGGGAAACUUGAGUACAGAAGAGGAAAGUGGAAUUCCAUGUGUAGCGGUGAAAUGCGCAGAGAUAUGGAGGAACACCAGUGGCGAAGGCGACUUUCUGGUCUGUAACUGACGCUGAUGUGCGAAAGCGUGGGGAUCAAACAGGAUUAGAUACCCUGGUAGUCCACGCCGUAAACGAUGAGUGCUAAGUGUUAGGGGGUUUCCGCCCCUU